CCCUUAGAUGUCCUGGGCUGCACGCGCGCUACACUGAUGUGUCCAGUAAGCACCUAACCUCUUCCGAAAGGAACGGGUAACCUUUGCAAAGCACAUCGUGAUGGGGAUAGAUUAUUGCAAUUAUUAGUCUUGAACGAGGAAUUCCUAGUAAGCACAAGUCAUCAGCUUGUGUUGAUUACGUCCCUGCCCUUUGUACACACCGCCCGUCGCUCCUACCGAUUGAAUGUUCCGGUGAGCUCUUCGGACUUUCAUCAUGCUGGUUUCCAGUUUUGAUGAAGGAAAGUCUUGCGAACCUUAUCAUUUAGAGGAAGGAGAAGUCGUAACA
Molecule: ribosomal RNA, 325 nt
Filed under: uncultured eukaryote
Lineage: Eukaryota
Description: partial 18S ribosomal RNA
Rfam family: Eukaryotic small subunit ribosomal RNA
Source: RNAcentral